RNAcentral lists this ribosomal RNA (1413 nucleotides) under Peptostreptococcaceae bacterium pGA-8. RNAcentral's name for it is "bacterial LSU rRNA". It matches the Rfam family "Bacterial large subunit ribosomal RNA", at positions 4 to 1433 of the family's 2925-position model. Lineage: Bacteria; Bacillati; Bacillota; Clostridia; Peptostreptococcales; Peptostreptococcaceae. The record is from RNAcentral.
CAAGUGAAUAAGAGCAUAAGGCGGAUGCCUUGGCACUGGGAGCCGACGAAGGACGUGACAAGCUGCGAUAAGCUGCGGGGAGGAGCACAUAUCCAAAGAGCCGCAGAUUUCCGAAUGAGGGAACUCACCUGUUGUAAUGGGCAGGUAUCCAUAAGUGAAUACAUAGCUUAUGAGAAGGAAACCUGGGGAACUGAAACAUCUAAGUACCCGGAGGAAGAGAAAGAAACAUCGAUUUCCUAAGUAGCGGCGAGCGAAAGGGAAAGAGGCCAAACCACUGAUUAAUCAGUGGGGUUGAGGACCACAACGUGAGACAUAUAUAUGGUAGUCGAAGAGAUCUGGAAAGUUCUGACAUAGAGGGUAACAUUCCCGUAGACGAAACUGUGUAUAUACUCUAGUGGCACCAGAGUAGUACCGGACACGUGAAACCCGGUAUGAAGCCGGGGGGCCCACCCCCCAAGCCUAAAUACUACCCAGUGACCGAUAGUGAAGUAGUACCGUGAGGGAAAGGUGAAAAGGACCCCGGGAGGGGAGUGAAAUAGAACCUGAAACCUUAUGCUUACAAGCAGAGGGAGCGCAAGUGACCUCGUACUUUUUGUAGAACGGGCCAACGAGUUAUGGUAUGCAGCGAGGUUAAGAUGUUAAGCAUUGGAGCCGUAGGGAAACCGAGUCUUAAUAGGGCGCCAAGUUGUAUGCUGUAGACCCGAAACCGGGUGACCUAUCCAUGUGCAGGUUGAAGUAACUGUAAAAGGUUAUGGAGGACCGAACUCAUGUCUGUUGAAAAAGGCUGGGAUGACGUGUGGAUAGCGGUGAAAUUCCAAUCGAACUCGGAGAUAGCUGGUUCUCCUCGAAAUAGCUUUAGGGCUAGCCUCAAGGAAAGAUACGCGGGGGUAAAGCACUGAAUGUUCUAGGGGCCUUCACCGGUUACCGAAAACUAUCAAACUCUGAAUACCGCACUAUCAUACUUGGGAGUCAGACUAUGUGAGAUAAGUUUCAUAGUCGAAAGGGAAACAGCCCAGACCAACAGCUAAGGUCCCCAAAUGUAAGUUAAGUGGAAAAGGAUGUGGAGCUGCAUAGACAACUAGGAUGUUGGCUUAGAAGCAGCCACUCAUUUAAAGAGUGCGUAAUAGCUCACUAGUCGAGUGACUCUGCGCCGAAGAUAAACGGGGCUAAAACUUACUACCGAAGCUUUGGAAUACAUAAUGUAUUGGUAGAGGAGCAUCCUAUACCGGGCAGAAGCGCAAUUGUAAGGCUGCGUGGACUGUAUAGGAGAGAGAAUGUUGGCAUGAGUAGCGUAAGGCAGGUGAGAAUCCUGUCCGCCGAAAAUCUAAGGUUUCCUGAGGAAGGUUCGUCCUCUCAGGGUUAGUCGGGGCCUAAGCCGAGAGCGAAAGCUGUAGGCGAUGGACAACAGGUUGA